CAGAUCUACUUCUUCCAUUUUCAGGGGACCUCUAGAGAGAGGCAUCCCCCUUAGUUACCUUUCCUGGAGCUAUGCCAAAACACUGGAAAGCACCCCAGGAGAGAAGAGCUUAUUCUGGCUUCCAGUUUGAGGUUGCAGUCCAUGGGGGGAGACGGGGGAAGAGGGAGAGAGAUGCUGGUGUUCAGCUCACUUCCACAUUUUAAUUCAGUCCAGCCCAUGGAAUGGUGCCAUCUACAUUUUGGGGCAGCUUAGAAGCAGGCAGGAAAUACAAGCAGAUAGACAGGAAGAAGAAAGGCUGAAGGGAAGAGACGCCAGCCAGCCACCCAAGGAGCAACAUGGAAUGGGACUCAGCCAGCUUCCUGUUCCUGAUACCAUGUUUCCUGACUAUUGCCACGCCUGCCCUGCCGUGUUGGAAUUUAUCCCUCCAGAGCUCUAAACCAAAAUAAAGCCUUUCUUUAGUGCUUUAUAUCAACUGAACACAGGCCUGAAACAUUUGUGAGGAGAGAACAUCAGUUGACAAAAUGUUCCCACCAGAUUAGCCUGUGGUACGUUUUUUUGUUUGUUUGUUUGUUUGUUUGUUUUGUUUUGUUUUUAAAUUUUUAUUGAUGAUGGAUGGGGGAAGACACAACUCACUAUGGACCCCCGGGGCUGGUGGUCCUGGGGUAAGAAAGCAGGUUAAAAUAGCCACAGGGAGUAAACCAGGAAGCAGCAU
Molecule: long non-coding RNA, 712 nt
Organism: Peromyscus maniculatus bairdii (prairie deer mouse)
Lineage: Eukaryota; Metazoa; Chordata; Mammalia; Rodentia; Cricetidae
Source: RefSeq, a predicted model, not a curated record